UAAUACUUUCGUGGGUGUUUUUCUGGUCAGGCUAUCAAGUACGAGAAUUAUUCGCGACUACCGAGAUACGAUACGGAACGCGCGCAUACGUGUUCGCGUGAUAACGUACAAUGCAAAUGGCACGACACGGACGCCAUGGUCGUUCUGCGCUAGAGAUGGGCAUCGAAGAGUGCUGCGGGACACGCGCUUGGGAAACUACGGUGAAAUUUCAUUUUAUUCUGUUCUGUAGACGUAGCGAGGAUAAUAUUUAUCGCAAUUUUUCGUCGACGUGUUUAUCGUAGCUCUCGUUUUGCGUCGGAACAACAUCGAAGUCGAUACGCAGAGACACGUUAAAUCUUACCGCAAAUAGAUGAACGUACGUGUAACGAAGUUUAAAGUAAAAGGUUUGUACGACUCGGGAAUGUAUUUUUUUUUUUUUUUUGUUCUCAAUUCUGAAGGAAUAUUUGAUUAUCUCGGACGAGAGAGAUCGGAAGCGACUCUUCUCGGACUCAGGUACCAACACAGGACGCGACGAGCCAUGGCGAGCAGAUUCGAGGCCAACGAGUAAAAUUAGACAGCGCGUGGAUGGAAUUCGAGCCAAUCGAGCAACCCCAAAUGGAAAUGGAAACGCUUCGAUUACUGUACAGACAAAAGAUGGCCGCAAUGCGACGCCUUCUAUAAAAUGGCGGUUGUUGACCACCCGCCGCCAAGCAGGCGUGUUUUCACGGAUUUUACCCAAGGCUCGGAACAAUCCGCUGCUCCCUUUACGGUCCUUCGGUCUCGAACGACCGAGUCCUACCGACGGACCGAGAUUUUUAGACCAAGUUCGCACGACUCCCCGAAAGUAUCUAAACUCACGUAAAUUCUUCCGAAGUUGUCGUUGUCGCACGUUUACAACUAAACGUGUACCUUUUAACGAAAAGACGAAAAAAGGAUCCUGUUACCGAAUAAUUCGCAGAUCGUAUCAACGACGACGGACAGCGAAGACGAGGCCCAUAGUAUCGAAAGAAGAAACAAAUCUGGGAAUAUUACGAGACCGGUGCAAAGUAUCGAAACUACAAUCUCGAUAGCGGUGCUAAUUUACCAGAACGCAAGACAAACGUCUCGAUCCUUCUCCGACGUCGUGUCUCCCGGUUCGCGCCGGUUGUACAAGUCACGUACAAGGAACGUGCACGUUUUAUUUACGAAAAACGACGGGAUUCUCGAUGCCUCCGUUCGUCGUUUCUAAAACUCAUCGACGCCGACGCGUGUUCAUUGAACGUACCUUUACAGGGUUUUGCGUUUAGAACACCCGUCGGACGAUCGUUUCGCAACCCGUUUCGACGUUGCGAUAUUUACAUGCAAGCGUGAGCUCGAAAUUCAGAAUAAUCAAACAGAUUCGACAUACGUCGCGAACGUGUCGAUUUUGCGACGGCCGGUCUGGGUGUAAUUGCUGAAGCGGUAAAAAGAAAAAAAAGAAAAGAAAAAGGCUCCUGGGCACUUGUUACAUGGAAAACGACAACGGACUGCUUUAUUAAGAGAGAGA
Hylaeus anthracinus is the source of this 1504-nucleotide long non-coding RNA. RefSeq lists it as uncharacterized. Lineage: Eukaryota; Metazoa; Arthropoda; Insecta; Hymenoptera; Colletidae. The record is from RefSeq and is a predicted model, not a curated record. The transcript has 2 exons.